AUGCGGGCACCUCCGCAAGGGCGCGCGGCUCGCGCGGCUCGCCCGGCUCGCGACUCCGCUGGCUCCGUGAGCCUCGCCUCGCCGGCCCCACGGUGUGGGGGGACCCAUGGCAACGUCGGAAUCAAUACAGCAACUUCACACGACGCGUGGAGGAUGUCGUCUCUUGUCGGUCGGCAUCGUCUCGUCUGCGUUUGUCUCUCGUCGUCGACGCGUGUCGAGUACGGCUCAGGCCGUCGUGCAUUCGCUCUGCCGUCCGUCUGCGGCGGAAGAAGAAUCUAGAAAGAAGACGACGUCCCGAUGAUGACUCUGCUGAAGGUCACCCGAUUCUCACUCGCUGCAGCAGCCAGCAGCAGCAGCGGCGGUGGCCAGCUCGUCUCCCCAAAUCAAGCCUCGCGACUCAGCAUGGCAGAUCCCCGGCCACACGCGCAUCAUCCUGCGGGGCAAAGGCUUCUUCCCCCCUGGCGUGAGAUGUCAAGUCUUCAAUGUCAACCGCGUGGCAACCAGCGUCACAUUUUGGAAAUUCCCCGCGCUGUCACUGCUUUAUUACUCACAAGCGAACACCUCGUGAAAGACCCACAUCAGCGGAUCUCUGGGUUCGACCUUUUACAAAGAUCAUGGCCCACCCUAAACCGCAUUCUGCACAAACCGUGGCGGAAAUAGAUGCCUGAUGCAAAACUCUCCAGUUUGCGACUGUGGGUCAUCCAGAACAGACCGUACAACAUUUAACGAUGCGAUGACCGAUCCACAAAUACAAAGGAGACAUCUCCGCAGCGAUACACUCCGUUGCUGCUCCUGACGCGGUUAUCUGGCUUGACCACCUGAAUGUGAAGUUGUAGUUGUUGCAUCGACAUCAUAUGAAAGAAGAUUGCUCAACUCGUCGAGCGCAUGUGCUUCUACUGGGUUGGUGAAGGUGGCGGUGCCCAGGGACCAGUGAAGACAUCACGACGCGAGCCGCUGGCUGGCCACGGAGCUCAGGUCGCCACACUCACAGCGGGGAGCACGCCAAC
Lethenteron reissneri (Far Eastern brook lamprey) is the source of this 1007-nucleotide long non-coding RNA. RefSeq lists it as uncharacterized. The record is from RefSeq and is a predicted model, not a curated record. NCBI's taxonomy places the organism in Eukaryota, Metazoa, Chordata, Hyperoartia, Petromyzontiformes, Petromyzontidae.